Molecule: ribosomal RNA, 406 nt
Filed under: uncultured bacterium
Lineage: Bacteria
Description: partial 16S ribosomal RNA
Rfam family: Bacterial small subunit ribosomal RNA
Source: RNAcentral
AUUGAACGCUGGCGGCAGGCCUAACACAUGCAAGUCGAACGAGUGGCGGACGGGUGAGUAAUGUCUGGGAAACUGCCGGAUGGAGGGGGAUAACUACGGGAAAAGGGAGAUAAUACCGCAUAAGAUCAGAUGUGCACAGAUGGGAUUUGCGAGUAGGUGUGGUAAAGGCUCACCUAGGCGACGAUCCCUAGCGGGUCUGUGAGGCUGACCAGCCACACUGGAACUGAGAUACGGUCCAGACUCCUCCGGGAGGCAGCAGUGGGGAAUAUUGCACAAUGGGCGCAAGCCUGAUGCAGCCAUGCCGCGUGUAUGAAGAAGGCCUUCGGGUUGUAAAGUACUUUCAGCGUGGAGGCGUUACCUACAGAAGAAGCACCGGCUAACUCCGUGCCAGCAGCCGCGGUAAUUC